AACACCUGAAAGGAAGGUACAUAUGUUAGAGAGGGGAAGUGAAAAUUAUCUCAAUGGGAAAAGUUUUGAUAAUAUUAUCAAGCAAAAAUUGUGUGGGGAGGAGUAAAGCACCAAAGGAGCUAAUGACAUGUGUCCAUUGUGGAGGAUAUAGUAUAUGUAAUUCCAAAGUCUAGUGGUAGAAAUUUAAUUUUUUCCCUCUAGUAUGCUCUUUUAGACAUCAGGUGAUAAUGGAAGCAUAGGAAGAUUCUGACGUCUGAAAGUAAAAGGACAAAGAAGAAAUGGCAUGAUACUGGCGGGACAAAUAAGACAUGACUCAAAUACUUUUUCCUGAGGGUCUCACUCACCUCUGUCGGAAGUCUCCAUAGAGGAUGCGGUUGGGAAAUCCUUUCCUGCAGAUUCGGAUCCCCUCAAGCACUCCAUUACAGCGUAGCUGGUGCAUAACCAGGGGGUUGUCCAUCACACCUGUGAACAGGAGAGGAGGAAGAAAAGAUACAUAAAUGAAGGGCUAGUGAACCUGAGUAAGUUAUGGAAAAUCUAUGAUAGUGGAAAACAUGUGAUUUGGAGGAGAAUGAUGGUACAGAUACAGAAUAGAGAUCCCUUUCUCUAGGAUAUCCCUCCAGGAUAAUAGUUGGGAAAGUGUGUCACCAAAGGAUUGUUCUGGGGCAGAAAAUGCCCAGAAAUGGACUGAGUCGUCCUGGAGGUGCGGUCUCACCUGGAGACUUGGUCUCAUUGGGAAUGAUGCAACGCACAAAGUGGGGAUGAGUAGAACGGAGGUUGGUCAUAAGUUUGUUCAGGUUCUCCUGAUAUCAGAAAAGAAGGAAGAAGAGGAGGGGAAAAUGAGGGAAAAAAAGAGAGAAUGAAGGGAAAGGUGAGAGAAGAGGAACUAUAAGUAGAGAAGGGGAUUGGAGACAAAAAAAUAGGAGAAAGAAAAUGAUGGAAGCAAGAGGUAGAGCAAAAAAUACUGAAAGACAAAGCAGACAAGUAUGGAGGGAAGAGGGAGGAAAAAGGGAAAGAAAAAAAAGAUAAAAGGACAGGAGAGAAGGGUUGAAAUCUCAGGGAAGGGCCAUGCAUCUGAUGUGGACUGAGGAAGGGGGCACUCACCCGAUGCAGGGCAGACACUGUCUGGAAGGAAGAGCCUUUCUUGGCUUUGCCUUUGCCCUUCUCAACAGCUAUAGAGAUGACCAAAAAGGAAAACUGUUAGUCUUAUCAUGAGGACAAGGGCAGGGCCAUGGGCAGGGAAUGAGGAACACUGACCAUUUCUUGCAGCUCUACCACACAGGUAGCCUAUUGGAUUACCAGCUCCACAAAAAAGUCAAAUGCUGAUAUCUUGGUGUUUUUAUCUCAUCCCUCCUUCCCACUAGAUACAUGAAUCUCAGGCAAUAACUUAACGUUGGGAUUUCUACAACAACCCUUUAUUUCUAUAGUCAAGGGUUCUUCUUAGGUUCCACUGACUAGUCCUCUAGGAAACCAUAUUUCCCACUCUUCUUACGUGCAUCAGCUCCAGCAUAGUUAGCAAAGAGAUUGCUGAGCAGCUUGAGGGAAGACUUCUGGUAGAGUCCCACCACGGUCUCGUUGAGUGGGUCCUUGUUCUUUUGCAGCCAGCCUAGGAUGUUAUAGUCCACAGUGCCAGCAUAGUGUAUUAGGGAGAAGUGGGCUUCCUGCUUCCCUUUGAUGUUGCGGGGUUUCUGGAAGUUGUUGGACUUUCCCAAGUGGUUGUCAUAGAGUUUGGCCUUGAAGGUCAUAUCAGUAGCCUUGGGGAACAUACACUCUUCCUCUAGGAUGGACAUUAUGCCCAUGGGCUGUGGAAAAGGAAGAAAGGAAAUGAGGCAAGGAAGAAGGAAAAGAAAUAUCACUAAGGGAUGGUGGGAGGUAAAAUUCUGGUGUAAUGGUGAAUAUUGAAUAGUAUUGGUACAGACUUUCUAGAGGGAGGGAGAUCUUAGUCUGUAGGAAACAGUGUAUUAAAGUGGAAAGCAAUGAACAUGGAGUUGGGCACUUUGGUUUGAAUCCUGGAUCUGCUCCUUAUUACCCAUUUCACCUUGAACAAUUCAUCUAAUUUCCCUGGACCUCAGUUUCCUCAUCUGUGAAAAGAAACUUGGAUGAUGGCCUCUAAAGUCUCUUCUUAUUCUAAAUAUUGAUAUCAUAUAAAAGUCUGAGAAUGUGGCAGCUGGCUAUUAAAUUUUCAUUGUCAUCAUUGUCAUCGCCACUAUUUUUUUGCCAUUAUUAUUUCCUUCAAAUUCUUGAGCUUGAGCUUGAGAGGUUAAAAGUGUGAACUGCCCUCCCUGUUCCCUGCUUCGCCUCCAAAUUUCCUAUUUUGUCAAUGACUAGAAAUCUGAACAGCUGGAUAUACUAGAUCAAUGGUAUGGGGAACGGGAUACCCUGAUGGAGAGAAAUGGUUGGAGAGGGACUGAGACUAUAGGUCCUGGAGAAGAGAAGGGAUUCUUUUGGUCCUAAUAAUUCCAGAAGGGUCUGAAAGAGAAGGUCUGAGGAGAAGGAGACAGGAUGCUGUGAUUCUGACUUCUUGUCCUUAGACUACAUUUUCUGACAUGGACAUGAUGCUGUCCCUCAGUUUGAGGGCCUGGGUCCAGGGGGAAGAGACUGGGCACCUUCUCAAUGAGAUCAAUGCAGGCCUGCAGGUCCAUGCCAAAGUCAAUGAACUCCCACUCAAUGCCUUCUUUCUUGUACUCCUCUUGCUCUAGCACAAACAUGUGGUGAUUGAAGAACUGUUGUAGUUUCUCAUUGGUGAAGUUGAUGCAGAGCUGCUCAAAGCUGUUGAACUGGGGUGAAAGGGAGAGAGUGGGACAGGUCAGUCACUCAGUCAAUCAGUAAACGUGGCAUAUAUGUGUAACAAGCAAGACCCUGGUCUCAGUAGAUUAGAGGAAUGGUUUUUAUUGGUCUGUUGGAAAGUGGGAGGGGCUAAAAUUAUUAAAGCCAGAUUAUGGAGGACUCACUGUUUUAGAAAGAGCCAUUCUUUUAAAAACAAACAAACAAAUCUUAUCUUCUGUCUUAGAACCAAUACCAAAUAUUUGGUUCUAAGACAGAAGAAUGGUAAGGACUAGGCAAUUGGGAUUAAGUGACUUGCUGGGUCACACAGUUGGAAGUGUUGAAGGUCAGAUUUGAACCCAGGACUUUCCUGUCUCCAUGCCUGGCCCACAAUCCAUUGAGCCACCUAGCUGCCCCCCAAGAGCUGUUGUUCUCUUCAAUAUCUCCUAUCUUCUUUGGCACCUGAUGACACCAAGUAUUAUCCAUCUUUCCCAUGGCUGAGGAAAGGCAGCAUAGUUAGUCAAACCAGGCUCCCCUCACUCACAUCAAAGAUCUCAAAGCCAGCAAUGUCGAGGACACCAAUGAAGUACUGGCGUGGCUGCUUGGUCUCCAGUGUGGCAUUGAUCCUUGUCACCAUCCAGUUGAACAUCUUCUCGUAGACGGACUUGGCAAGAGCACCGAUGGCAUAUGACACCUGGAGGUAGGAGGGGGACACCCAUGGUCAGGGGAAAGAGAGCAGGUAGAAUUCAGGGUCAAGACUUUGAGAAAUCAAAGAAUGGAUAGCCCAUCCCAUCCCACUCUUCCUACCACCCGGAGGAGGGCGCUCACCUGCUGGACAUUCUGCCCCUUGGUGACAUACUCGUUGCCCACCUUCACCCUUGGGUGGCACAGCCCCUUCAGGAGGUCAGCCGAGUUCAGGCCCAUGAGGUAGGCGGAUUUGUCAGCCUCUGGAAAGGCAGACAGGGAAGAUGGUGACUAGAUACCAGUGAGAGAACAGACUUACUUUUGGAUCAAUUAGGUUGUUUAUCAAAAAGUAUAGCUAAUAUAAUAGUUGUUUUUUAUGUAACUUUAAAAUUUGAAAAAUACUUUACAAAUAUGAUUUCAUGUUAUCCUCACAACAACCCUAAGAGGAGGAUGCUAUUAUUAUCUCCAUUUUACAAAUGAGGAAACCAUGGCUGAUAGAGGUCAAGUAAAUGACUUGCCCAGGGUUACCCAGCUAGUAAAUGUCUGAGGCUGGAUUUGAACUCAGGUCCAACAUUCUAUCCUCUGAGCCACCUAACUGCCACUAUAUUAGAUAGUGGGGAUACAAAGACAAGGAAGAAACAGACUUUGCCCUCAAGGAGUCCACAUUCUUUGGGAGGAGAUCAAUGCUUAAACAGAUUUAGACGAGGGCACCACAGAUGUGGAGCUCAGGAAUGGCUUGGGAUGGAAGUGGCUCUUAGGUUGAGUCUUGGAGGAAAUGAAGGAUUCUAAGAGUAUGCAGUGUAUUUCAGCCAUGGGGGGCAGAUAGCCCCAGUAAAAGUGGUGGGAGGAAACAUCUCCUGUUUGAGGAACAGUCAGAAUGUUGGCUUGGUUGGUCUUAGAAGGGAGUGAAGGGAAAUAACAGCUAAUCCAUCUGGAGAGGUAAAUGACAAACUAGGGAAUUCAUUUUUGAUUCUAGGGGUAACAGGCAAGUGUUCGAAUCUAUUGAAUAGGAGUUGAUGCGGCCAGACCUGCCAUUUAGGAAAAGCUUGUGGGCACAGCAAAGAGGAUGGAUUGGAGUGGGGAGAGACUUGAGCCAAGGUUAAUCUAGUCCAGGCUGCCCCUCUUCUUACCUUCAGUGCCAUCAGGUUCAGCCUGCUCUUCUCUUUGCUUCUGCUUAAACUUCAUGUUCCCAAAGUGCAUAAUGGCCCCUGUUAGCUUGUAGAUGGAGUUCUUCUCUUCAGGAGUGAAGCCCAGCACAUCAAAGGCACUCUGUGAACAGGCAUAAGGUUGGACACUGCUCAAAAGCAGGUUGGUUGUGUGACCCUGAGCAAGUCACUUAACCCCCAUUGCCUAGCCCUUACCAUUCUUCUGCCUUGGAACCAAGUAUCGAUUCUUAGCCAGAAGGUAAGAGUUAAAAAAAAAAGACCAUAGGACAAACCUGAUUUUUUUUUCAGCUGUGUCUAAUUCUUUUAGACCCCAUUUGGGAUUUUCUUAAUAAAGACACUGGAGUGAUUUGCCAUUUCCUUCUCUAGAUCAUUUUACAAAUGAGGAAACUAAAGCAAACAGGUUUAAGUGACUUGCCCAGGGUCAUACAACAAUUAAGUAUCUGAGGCUGGAUUUGAAUUUAGGUCUCCUGACUCCAGGCCUGGAGUUCUAUCCCCUGCACUACCUGCCUAACUAACUACCCUGAAACCUAAUUUAACUCAUGAUAAUAACAGCUAACAUUUAUGUAGCACUCUAAGGUUUGCAAACCACUUUAUGUUAACAUAUUUGGUCCUUACAACAACCUGGGAGAUAUGUGCAAUUAUUCUCUCCAUUUUACAGAUGAGAAAACUGAGGGAGACAGAUCACAAAUAACCUUAUCCAAAUCAGCCCAACGGAGUAGAGGAAUCCAUCUUUCCAAAGAAGUAAAUGAGAUAGCACUGAGCCCAGAGAAUAGACACAGAAGACACCCAUGGAGGGAACCGCAUGCUGCCCGAGAGCCCGGACGUACCCAACAG
Molecule: non-coding RNA, 5444 nt
Organism: Monodelphis domestica (gray short-tailed opossum)
Lineage: Eukaryota; Metazoa; Chordata; Mammalia; Didelphimorphia; Didelphidae
Source: RefSeq, a predicted model, not a curated record